GUUGAGAACCAUAUAAUUGUGUUAAUAAUGGGUUAAAGGACACAAAAAGGUCUAUAUUGUGAGAAACCAAUGCUUUUUGCAAUUAAAUAGCAAUGUGGGAUAACAAUUUUUAAUGCUAAUGAGAAUAAAUGGAAUAAUGUUCAAAAAAUCAUCACAUUUCCUGCAUUAAACAGGGGUCUUAACAUGGGAGCAGGUAUCGAUACACAUGCAUGUCCGAGCAUCGCACCAGGGGCUUUUCGCCCAUCUAAGAAAAGGAGUUCUCAUUCUCACACAAGGAACUGAGAGGCAGUUGGAAGUUAGAUGGGCACAUGAACUACAAAUCAAGUGGGUCUAAAGCUCACUAAGGUGAUAGUUGUUCCAGAUAUAUUUCUCCAACCCAUUUUGUUGGUGGAAAGACCACAAAGUUAAUGGUCUGGUUAAGGCCUGAAAGCUGUGCCUGCACUAAAUAGAAGGCUUGGAAACAGUUCUUCAUUAAGAAAGUAAAGGACAAAAACAAACGACCCCCAUCCUUCAGAAAAAUAGCUGGUUCCCAGCAGAGAAACUAACAAAGGAUCACUAAGGGCAAUUAUUGUUUGUACAGACACAUAACAGCUGUAUUAUUUCAAGAAGAUGACACGAUUCUCUGCCUUUUCACCUCCUUCCUUUUCUCAGAGUCACCUCUUAACUGGAGUUGUCCUUGGGGCCACUCCUUUGUCUAUCUUGGCACUCACGAUCUCAUAUAACUAAGAGCUUUAAUCUCAGGAAGGUUAAGUUUUUAAAAGGAAAAUUUUGCUAAAACUGAUUCGGUUGUCUGAAAACUGCUUCAGCUAUCUGACUUAAUUUCAAGCCAUACAAGGGACCUCAUAGAUCCAUUUGACAAAAAAUGCUUCUGGAAGCUUCGACCCCACUUUUUCAUGUCGAUAAAGUGAGCUGAGCAUAUGGCAAGAUUUGUGCACCAACUAAAGGUUAUCAGACCUGAUUCAAUUGGGUAAAAAAGCUUGACUUCUACAAAUAUUAUUAGUGGAAAUUAUGUAUCUCCAAAAAUUAUCAUUGUUGUGGGCUACAAACUGAAGACAGUGUAAGGAGUUGCAAAAGGAAGUGCACAUUGAAGGGUGGACUCAUAAUAGCCACAAAGUAAACUCUCACCCGGAGCUAGUCUGUUGUCAUGAAGAAUGGCAAUUACUCAUACCCUGCAACUAUUAAUGCAGAAAAGAUAACAUUAAAUUAGUUCACUUGCCUGAUUUGGACAUCUGUGCAUUCAAGUGCUCCAUCAACACAACAAACGAGAACAACAGUACCACUUCAGAUGAAAUGAUGCUUCUACAAAAGCCUAACUGGCCCUUAAAACAAAAUGUUUGUGUGGACUGGCCCAAUGCUUGAUUCCACAAAAGCAAAACUCAUCUUUUAGUGUCCUUCUUAUCAGCUUUUUAAUUAAAAAAUACUUUAUGAUGUACUUUAAAUUCUUAUUGUUUUAAAUUGCAUCUUAAGCAUCUUAAAGAUUUAAAUGUCAUGUAAUUUAUAAAGUAUCUCAAUGCAUUUGGAUUACUAAAAUUUCAUACUCCCAUCAUAGUUGUUUACGCUCAUGCUCGAGAUCGUCAUGAGCAUGUGAGGGCCUUGUCCAUUGACCGGCCUGCACUCGGUUGGGCCAGUGGGCCGGCCCAAAGUGGCCAGCCCAAGGCCACCGUGCCAUGGCGCGAUACAACAGAGAAGAAGAAGACUCCGAAUCCUUCUCCAAAUCCGGCUGAGACUUCGCCUAUUUAACUUCCUUCUUCCUCCUUGGAUUUCCUCGAAACGCCAAAGAUCGCCGCCGAUUUCAAGCUUCUUCUCUGAGCCUUCUUCCUCGUUUCCUCGCCGAAAAGAGCCACCGGAGGCUUUGCCGGACCAAAGUAACUACCCAACGUCUCCUCUUUCUUUUCCUGGUUUUAGAGAUGAUUCCAUGAUGAGUUCGGUUAAAGAAUCAUCGGAUUACCUUCUGAAACAGAGGUGCCCUAUUUUGGCUUCUUCCUCCUGUGCUCGCCGCCGCCGACUGCUGGGAUUAGCUAAGCUCUGCCACCUUCCGAGAGCUCUGAGAGCAUGUGGCUGCCCAUUAGAGAGUUAGCCAUAGUUCAUGCUGAGUUUGAUCAUUUUUUUUAUCGUCUUCUUCCUUUCUUGUGCCAGCCGGCGACCGUCGCCGGUGGUGCCACGGCCGAAGGGCCACCAAGGCCGUCGUCGCUGAGGAUUGGGCCAUAAUCCUAACUAAUGUUGGCUUUGAAAGCUAAUGUAAUGUUGGCUUCGUGUUAUCGUGGAUUGUACCCCUUGGUAGCACGACUAUGUCAUGCUUUAAAUCUGAGGCGUGACAAAUAUGGUUCAGAGCUUCAAAUUUGUGAGCUAGCUCAUUCCCUCUCUCGUCCUCUCCUUAUAUCCCCUACACCACUGCUUUGAGGCUAAUACCAAUAUGUUGACCCCCAACCAUCGAAUCGCUUUGAGAUCCGUGUCAGUAUAAGUUAAAAUUUGUAAGCUCUUUGGAAUUCAGCUCAUUCUCUCUCUCUACUCCUCUCCUCAUCUCCCUCCUCUAACCCUUACCCUUGCUACCGUACCCCCCACUUCCAUCUUCUGACACUGCUCCAGUUCAUUCCCUCUCUCGUUCUCUUCUCAUUUUCCUCCCCCAAACCUUACCCCUUGCUACCGUACCCCCACUUCCAUCUCCUGACGCUGCCCUCCUCUUUCCUCCCCUUCCUCUAUUGCGCCCGCAGCAUGGGAAGAGGAUGGUCGUCUUCUCUUUCUGGCACCCCCCAAUGUUCCAUCCUAGGAAAGGAAGAAGGAGAGGAAAAAAACUUACAUUUUAGGUCAGCGGCGUCCUCCCUUUCUUAGAUAAUGACACGGAAGAGGAUGGUUGCAGGUCUCCUACAGCAACCCUCCAAUAUUCUGAUGAGAAACGGACACGGGAGGGAAGAAACAUCCUAUGGUCAUGUGGUCACAAUGCUUUUCGGGCAACCACAUAUAACAGAGCAGUGAUCUCUGCACCUUGCCACAGCUGGAAUGACGAAGUGACCGUACCUGCAGCAGAUAUGGUGACGCGACCGCAGACAUCCUUCUGCGAGCGGGAUGGCACGGUCACGCGUGCCUGCAGACUGAUCUCCUUUAUUUUUUUCUCUGUUUUUUUUUCUUGCUUCAUCAAGACAGCUACUGCUGUCAUCUGCCCCAGCUACGGUGAGGCGGCCACACACAUCCACCUGGCUGCAUGAUGGCACAGUCAGGCCUGCCUUCAGAGUUUUUUUCUUGUUUCAGUGGGCUACAUUUCAUGGUUCAUUCAUUAAGACAUGUAUUGUUUUCUUUUUUUCUUUUUUUUCCUCUACCUUUUGGUUCAGAGGGAAGCCAUUUCACGGUUUAUUUAUUAAGACAGGUACUGUUGGGCUAUGUUUUACGAUUCAUUCAUUAAUGCAGGUACUAUUUGCUCUAUUUUUUUUCAUGUAUGCCUUUUGUUUUUUUCUUGUUUCAGUGGGCUAUGCACUCUAGAGCUUAUGCUGCAGAGCGAUCUCCCCAAACCUUUCAAACUGGCUGGACCGCGCUGCGUGGAGGUCUCCGAUGCCGACAUCUGGGUGAACUUUACUGCGACACUUGUCAUUCUGGGAGACCACCAGGUUCUCCUUUAAUGUAUUGUAUAGAUUUGUCUCUUGCACUACAUAUGCUAGGAUGCAUCUCCUAACAGACGCCAUUCUCUAAAACUAUAGAACACUUUCGUUCCAGAUAUGUCAAGUUAUGGGACAGUAUCGGUUGAGAAAGAUAAACGUUCACUGAAAAAUGAAGUACAAUUGGCUGAAAAAACAA
Molecule: non-coding RNA, 3786 nt
Organism: Phoenix dactylifera (date palm)
Lineage: Eukaryota; Viridiplantae; Streptophyta; Magnoliopsida; Arecales; Arecaceae
Source: RefSeq, a predicted model, not a curated record